AAUCCGUGAUUGGGGAAAUUCUUGACUAAUCCUUUAAAGCGCUCCCAUGCGGCACUCAAGGUUUCAAAUUCUUCCUGCUCGAAGUUCAUGAUUCUCUCUCCGCCUCC
Molecule: small nucleolar RNA, 107 nt
Organism: Benincasa hispida (wax gourd)
Lineage: Eukaryota; Viridiplantae; Streptophyta; Magnoliopsida; Cucurbitales; Cucurbitaceae
Source: RefSeq, a predicted model, not a curated record